ACUUCCCUGGAAUUUCACUGUUUACACAUAUGGUAAAGAUGGCUCACUCAUCACUGAGAGACCUGACAUGCAGAAUCACUGUCACUACAGAGGCUAUGUGGAGGAUGUUGAGUUUUCAUCUGCAUCUGUCAGCCUCUGUUCUGGGCUCAGUGGGUUUUUGAUGGUAGGGAACACUACAUUGGGGAUUGAGCCUCUGGAGGGCUCAUCUGGCUUUGAGCAUGUGGUGUACCGCUUGGAGGAUGAGGAGACGGAACCUGUCACCUGUGGAACCCCCCACACCCAUCACCCUAGCGACAGUGACAUCUCCUCCAAAGCCCAGAACAUUGGCCACUCUCACAGUGGUAUGUCUGGGGAUUCUGUCAGUCAUUUACUCAGAAGGAGGCGAGCUAUUAUGCAGCAGACUCACUACGUGGAGCUGAUUAUAGUGGUGGAUUACAAUGGAUUCAAAGUAAUGGAUAAUGAAACCCGGGUUCAAGACCAGAUGAUACAGGUUGCAAAUCGCCUAGACAGUAUGUAUGCGCCGUUGAACAUCCGUGUGGUGCUGGUGGGGUUGGAGAUCUGGACGGCAGGGAACCUCAUCACUGUGGACAGAAAUGCUGGGGGCGUGCUGUCGCGCUUCAGGGAGUGGAGGGCACAGAAUCUGCUGCCCCGCCAUCGCCAUGACGCUGGCCAUUUUGUUGCGAAACAACAUUUUGGAAGUAUCGCUGGGCUGGCCUACGUUUCCACUGUCUGCAGUCAGUUGAGUGCUGCAAUAAACAUUUAUGGGAGCGUGGGCUACCUCUCAUCCAUUAUGUCCCAUGAACUAGGCCACAACCUGGGUAUGGGUCAUGAUCGUCCAGGCUGCCACUGCCCAGCCAAACAAUGCAGAAUGGGCGCCAAAGGCACAUGUGGAGACUCAUGUGUUGAUAUUGUUUUCAGCGACUGCAGUGCUGAUAGCUUUGAGAAGUUGAUGCUGAAAAUGGGCCACCAUAACUGUCUCCUCAACAUGCCACAGCCACACAAGGCCUACCGCAAGCCCUACUGCGGCAACAAGCUGCUGGACCCAGGGGAGGAAUGUGACUGUGGCUCGGAGGAGGAGUGCAAGAAGGACCUGUGCUGUGAGCCAAACACCUGUAAGCUGAAGUCCUGGGCUCAGUGUACCGAUGGGGAAUGCUGCAGGAACUGUAAAUUCCUGCCAGGUGGUUAUGAGUGCCGCAGCCGGUCAGAUGAGUGUGACCUUCCUGAAUACUGCAGCGGCUCGUCUCCUUUCUGCCCGGCUGAUGUCUUUGUGCAGAACGGGCAUGUCUGCAGGAACAACCAAUCAUAUUGCUACAAUGGCGAUUGCCAACACCAUGACACCCAAUGCAAGACCUUAUUUGGUUCCAAGGCAAGGUCUGCAGCAGAUGUGUGCUAUGAAUUUGUGAACUCUAAGGGGGACCGCUUUGGAAACUGUGGUGGCAACCGGGGGUGCAGUGCCAGGGAUGCCAAGUGUGGGAAGCUGCAGUGUGAAAAUGUUCAUUCGGACACCGUGUUUGACACUGAGCCCUCCAUCAUAUCAACCACCAUUGGUAAAAACAAGUGCUGGGGGGUGGACUUCAUGAUGGGGCCUGAUGUGUUGGAUCCAGGAAUGGUUAACGACGGAACAAAAUGUGGAGAAGACAAGGUGUGCUUGAAUAAUAAAUGCAAGGAUGUGUCAGAGCUCCAAUUUGACUGUGACAUGAAGGACAAAUGCCAUGGCCACGGGGUCUGUAACAACAAUAAAAACUGCCACUGUGAUUACGGAUGGGCUCCCCCUUUCUGUAAGGAAGAAGGCUAUGGAGGCAGCCUCGAUAGCGGCCCUACAUGGAACGAGAAAGACAAGGCCACCAGGGUUGGUUUGCUGAUAUAUUUCUUCCUAGUUCUUCCUCUGCUCCUGCUGGGUAUGACUGUGUUUAUUGGUUGGAACCAGCUGCAGCAGCACUUCUGCAGGAACAGGACUGAAUGUAGACAGCAGACCAACAAUCAAAACUCAGCCUCUCAGGCAGGAAACCCUACUACAGAUGGAGUGAGUCAGAACACACACACACACACACACACACUCACACUCACUCACACUGCAUAGACAUGGUGAGAAAACAGUUGUGAUUGUGUUUUAUGAAAAUUAACAAAGACUGCAAUUUCAUUUUGCUUUUUUUCUGAUUAUUUACAUUAAAUACUCAUACAUCUUCUGGACAGAAGAGAGCAUUUUUGUUCUUUAUUUCUAAAGGUAGAAGAUUGCUGUAGAUUCACCUUCCUGAAGAGUGUGAUUAGAUUCAACAGAUCACACUGAAAUGGCUCAAUCAUCCUAAUUCAUCUUUAACACAGGAAAAUAAAAGAGUAAUCUAUGCUGAUAAUGUGGCGGUUAUAAUAGUUGAAGCACUAAAAAAAAUCAGGGAGCUCAGAUUUGCUUUUUGUGUUUUGCAGGUUGUUCAGACUUCAAUGCUGGCCUUUGUGCCUUCUUAUGGACCUUCGAACCCGCAAUCCCAAUACAAACCCCAUACUGUAGCGACACA
This is an RNA transcript of Alosa alosa (allis shad), 2510 nucleotides long. It is a transcript of the gene named disintegrin and metalloproteinase domain-containing protein 9-like, with no coding region annotated. The transcript is spliced from 18 exons. The record is from RefSeq and is a predicted model, not a curated record. Lineage: Eukaryota; Metazoa; Chordata; Actinopteri; Clupeiformes; Clupeidae.